RNAcentral lists this long non-coding RNA (1415 nucleotides) under Homo sapiens (human). RNAcentral's name for it is "HSALNT0167842". The record is from RNAcentral. Lineage: Eukaryota; Metazoa; Chordata; Mammalia; Primates; Hominidae.
CACAAUGUGUGCUUUGGGUGGAGAUGAGUCUACCUCCAGCUCCAAAGGAGGCAUCUGAUUUAGCCCUGAACCUCUUUUUUGACCACAAAGUUGGAUGCAUAGCACAGCCAUCUUUUCAUCACAAUGGGACAGCCUGUCUGAGAAUGAGGCCAAUGCAAAGAAGAAAGUGGAGCCCACGUACAGAGAGAUGAUACAUUGAUGAUAUCAUGUGUCCUAGAUUCAUGCUUCAUAUGAAGUGUCACCCCACUGGAUAUGACCUGUUACUUCCAUGAUGGAUUGAGCAGCCGAAGUUCUUCAGCCUGCCUCUCUAUUAUGGAGACUCCCUGGUACUUGACAAAAUGCAUCAGUGAGGUUCUGAUGACCUGGGUGGGCCUCCCUUGCUGCUUGAAUGGCCAUGUGCACACAAAAGCAAAUGGUGUUAAAGGAUAUGGAUGAAGCAAGUGACUUUCCCUGAACAAUGGACCUGAAAAGACAUGGAGAAGCUCACAGAGGGCACUGGAGACGUGUCAGCAGAACUUAGAGAAGCUGCUCAGCACACCCCAAGCACAGAGGCAAAUAUGAAAACAAAUGGAGGAUUUGCAAAGGGAUGGCUGUUCACCAAGAAGAACAGUGGAAGAGAAGUGGAGUCCUAGCAGGAGGGCUGUGAAUUUUGUGUAGGGUCCAGAUUAGGGCAGAGGAAGCACACGUGCUCACAAAUUUUCUGUAUGAAAAGGGGCUUGAGCACAAGAUUGAGAGAGCUGAAGUAUGUAGUAGACUCUAUUUUUGCCUGCCUGACAUCUAUUCCUCUUUUAAUGGUGUUUCCUCCUGUUUUGUGUUGGUGAACCUCUGUUUUCCUAUACUCAAAUUACGUUGGUGAGAUGAGGGUGUGGUGUCCUUCCCUCAGCUCCAGGGAUUGAAAUGAACCUCAUGAAUGGUUCAGAGAAUCACAUCAUACCAGAUAUGAUUUUUUUUCUAAGGUAGACACAACCCACUCCUAUUAAAGACAAUGAGACAAUACAAUCCAAUUCCAUUUUUGGGGUUGGGGGGUAGAAUUGCUGGGAAACAAAAAACAAAACAAUUUUUUUUUUCUGCUGAACUUUAAGCUCUUUUGCUAUAAGUCUGUAGCUGCACAGGGCCAUCAUACACAGGAACUGGAUUCAAAAUGAAGCCACAACAGAAAGCAACUAGAUCAGAAAGAUGCAACAUGGCCAAUUACUAAUACAAUUGUCUGAGUUCCUGAAUCCACACUUGCCUAGACUUACUAGCUAAGUUGGCUAAUGAGUCAUAUUGUGUGUUUAAAUGUGUCUGGGUUAGAUUUCUGUCACUGCUAAGCAAGUGUUCUGACUUAUACAAAGUAUCAAAACAUUGUUCUUAGGCUAUACAACCCCCUUGCCCCCUAACUCACACUACAACCCAUGAAUUAUAGCCUAAAUCAA